GUGAGGAAUAUUGGUCAAUGGGCGCAAGCCUGAACCAGCCAUGCCGCGUGCAGGAAGACGGUCCUAUGGAUUGUAAACUGCUUUUAUUUGGGAAUAAACUCCGGUACGUGUACCGGCCUGAAGGUACCAAAUGAAUAAGCACCGGCUAACUCCGUGCCAGCAGCCGCGGUAAUACGGAGGGUGCAAGCGUUCUCCGGAAUCAUUGGGUUUAAAGGGUCCGCAGGCGGUCUUAUAAGUCAGUGGUGAAAGCCUACAGCUCAACUGUAGAACUGCCAGUGAUACUGUAGGACUAGAAUUCGAUCGAAGUGGGCGGAAUGUGACAUGUAGCGGUGAAAUGCUUAGAUAUGUCACAGAACACCGAUAGCGAAGGCAGCUCACUAGGUCUGGAUUGACGCUCAGGGACGAAAGCGUGGGGAGCAAACAGGAUUAGAUACCCUAGUAGUCC
RNAcentral lists this ribosomal RNA (445 nucleotides) under uncultured bacterium. RNAcentral's name for it is "partial 16S ribosomal RNA". It matches the Rfam family "Bacterial small subunit ribosomal RNA", at positions 354 to 796 of the family's 1533-position model. The record is from RNAcentral.